GAAUAAUUAAACUGGUUUUCAUUGACAUUGCCUCUAUAAUUUAUUCAAGAUGUAAGUUUGAGCAGAUUUUCCAAACAUGAUUAAUGGAAAUACUAUUAACCAGAAAUCAUUUCAAUUUCUGAUAAUAGAAACAAAUGACAAUUGAGCAGAACAAAAUUAUAUACCUUUACACAAUCACAUGUAUAGGCGAACACUGGCAAAGGCAUAAA
This 209-nucleotide unclassified non-coding RNA is filed under the name Hevea brasiliensis (rubber tree). Lineage: Eukaryota; Viridiplantae; Streptophyta; Magnoliopsida; Malpighiales; Euphorbiaceae. The record is from RNAcentral.